This 1536-nucleotide ribosomal RNA is filed under the name Bacteroides xylanisolvens. RNAcentral describes it as "bacterial SSU rRNA". It matches the Rfam family "Bacterial small subunit ribosomal RNA". RNAcentral also lists the same sequence under 1 other name. The record is from RNAcentral. Lineage: Bacteria; Pseudomonadati; Bacteroidota; Bacteroidia; Bacteroidales; Bacteroidaceae.
CUUUUACAAUGAAGAGUUUGAUCCUGGCUCAGGAUGAACGCUAGCUACAGGCUUAACACAUGCAAGUCGAGGGGCAGCAUUUUAGUUUGCUUGCAAACUAAAGAUGGCGACCGGCGCACGGGUGAGUAACACGUAUCCAACCUGCCGAUAACUCGGGGAUAGCCUUUCGAAAGAAAGAUUAAUAUCCGAUAGUAUAUUAAAACCGCAUGGUUUUACUAUUAAAGAAUUUCGGUUAUCGAUGGGGAUGCGUUCCAUUAGUUUGUUGGCGGGGUAACGGCCCACCAAGACUACGAUGGAUAGGGGUUCUGAGAGGAAGGUCCCCCACAUUGGAACUGAGACACGGUCCAAACUCCUACGGGAGGCAGCAGUGAGGAAUAUUGGUCAAUGGACGAGAGUCUGAACCAGCCAAGUAGCGUGAAGGAUGACUGCCCUAUGGGUUGUAAACUUCUUUUAUAUGGGAAUAAAGUAUUCCACGUGUGGGAUUUUGUAUGUACCAUAUGAAUAAGGAUCGGCUAACUCCGUGCCAGCAGCCGCGGUAAUACGGAGGAUCCGAGCGUUAUCCGGAUUUAUUGGGUUUAAAGGGAGCGUAGGUGGAUUGUUAAGUCAGUUGUGAAAGUUUGCGGCUCAACCGUAAAAUUGCAGUUGAAACUGGCAGUCUUGAGUACAGUAGAGGUGGGCGGAAUUCGUGGUGUAGCGGUGAAAUGCUUAGAUAUCACGAAGAACUCCGAUUGCGAAGGCAGCUCACUAGACUGCAACUGACACUGAUGCUCGAAAGUGUGGGUAUCAAACAGGAUUAGAUACCCUGGUAGUCCACACAGUAAACGAUGAAUACUCGCUGUUUGCGAUAUACAGUAAGCGGCCAAGCGAAAGCAUUAAGUAUUCCACCUGGGGAGUACGCCGGCAACGGUGAAACUCAAAGGAAUUGACGGGGGCCCGCACAAGCGGAGGAACAUGUGGUUUAAUUCGAUGAUACGCGAGGAACCUUACCCGGGCUUAAAUUGCAUUUGAAUAAUCUGGAAACAGGUUAGCCGCAAGGCAAAUGUGAAGGUGCUGCAUGGUUGUCGUCAGCUCGUGCCGUGAGGUGUCGGCUUAAGUGCCAUAACGAGCGCAACCCUUAUCUUUAGUUACUAACAGGUCAUGCUGAGGACUCUAGAGAGACUGCCGUCGUAAGAUGUGAGGAAGGUGGGGAUGACGUCAAAUCAGCACGGCCCUUACGUCCGGGGCUACACACGUGUUACAAUGGGGGGUACAGAAGGCAGCUACCUGGCGACAGGAUGCUAAUCCCAAAAACCUCUCUCAGUUCGGAUCGAAGUCUGCAACCCGACUUCGUGAAGCUGGAUUCGCUAGUAAUCGCGCAUCAGCCAUGGCGCGGUGAAUACGUUCCCGGGCCUUGUACACACCGCCCGUCAAGCCAUGAAAGCCGGGGGUACCUGAAGUACGUAACCGCAAGGAGCGUCCUAGGGUAAAACUGGUAAUUGGGGCUAAGUCGUAACAAGGUAGCCGUACCGGAAGGUGCGGCUGGAACACCUCCUUUCU